RNAcentral lists this long non-coding RNA (295 nucleotides) under Ixodes scapularis (black-legged tick). RNAcentral describes it as "uncharacterized LOC115318915". Lineage: Eukaryota; Metazoa; Arthropoda; Arachnida; Ixodida; Ixodidae. The record is from RNAcentral.
GUCCAGCGUGUAAUCCACGGCGAAAGGCCCUGUACAGCGCUAUUUCUCCUGCCAUGGAGGUGGUAAAGAGCCUGGCAGCCCUGCUGAAGGAUUCACCAGCUUCUCUCAUUGAGAAGGAGGAGGAUCAUGUCCAGCCAGCCUUCCCUGUGAUGCAAGUCAGGGGAGGGGCCUCAAGUUCACCACUCACAGUGGUGCUGGAGGACUGCUCCUUCGAGGUAACGGACAUUGUGGCCGGUAUUGCGCUCAUUCUUGCGCUAUACUGGGUCCAUGACAUUUCCUGCUGUCCAAAAGCAUC